AUGCCAGCUUGCUGGUGGAUUAGUGGCGAACGGGUGAGUAACACGUGAGUAACCUGCCCUUAACUCUGGGAUAAGCCUGGGAAACUGGGUCUAAUACCGGAUAUGACUCCUCAUCGCAUGGUGGGGGGUGGAAAGCUUUAUUGUGGUUUUGGAUGGACUCGCGGCCUAUCAGCUUGUUGGUGAGGUAAUGGCUCACCAAGGCGACGACGGGUAGCCGGCCUGAGAGGGUGACCGGCCACACUGGGACUGAGACACGGCCCAGACUCCUACGGGAGGCAGCAGUGGGGAAUAUUGCACAAUGGGCGAAAGCCUGAUGCAGCGACGCCGCGUGAGGGAUGACGGCCUUCGGGUUGUAAACCUCUUUCAGUAGGGAAGAAGCGAAAGUGACGGUACCUGCAGAAGAAGCGCCGGCUAACUACGUGCCAGCAGCCGCGGUAAUACGUAGGGCGCAAGCGUUAUCCGGAAUUAUUGGGCGUAAAGAGCUCGUAGGCGGUUUGUCGCGUCUGCCGUGAAAGUCCGGGGCUCAACUCCGGAUCUGCGGUGGGUACGGGCAGACUAGAGUGAUGUAGGGGAGACUGGAAUUCCUGGUGUAGCGGUGAAAUGCGCAGAUAUCAGGAGGAACACCGAUGGCGAAGGCAGGUCUCUGGGCAUUAACUGACGCUGAGGAGCGAAAGCAUGGGGAGCGAACAGGAUUAGAUACCCUGGUAGUCCAUGCCGUAAACGUUGGGCACUAGGUGUGGGGGACAUUCCACGUUUUCCGCGCCGUAGCUAACGCAUUAAGUGCCCCGCCUGGGGAGUACGGCCGCAAGGCUAAAACUCAAAGGAAUUGACGGGGGCCCGCACAAGCGGCGGAGCAUGCGGAUUAAUUCGAUGCAACGCGAAGAACCUUACCAAGGCUUGACAUGAACCGGAAAUACCUGGAAACAGGUGCCCCGCUUGCGGUCGGUUUACAGGUGGUGCAUGGUUGUCGUCAGCUCGUGUCGUGAGAUGUUGGGUUAAGUCCCGCAACGAGCGCAACCCUCGUUCUAUGUUGCCAGCGCGUUAUGGCGGGGACUCAUAGGAGACUGCCGGGGUCAACUCGGAGGAAGGUGGGGACGACGUCAAAUCAUCAUGCCCCUUAUGUCUUGGGCUUCACGCAUGCUACAAUGGCCGGUACAAAGGGUUGCGAUACUGUGAGGUGGAGCUAAUCCCAAAAAGCCGGUCUCAGUUCGGAUUGGGGUCUGCAACUCGACCCCAUGAAGUCGGAGUCGCUAGUAAUCGCAGAUCAGCAACGCUGCGGUGAAUACGUUCCCGGGCCUUGUACACACCGCCCGUCAAGUCACGAAAGUUGUGUAACACCCGAAGCCGGUGGCCUAAC
Molecule: ribosomal RNA, 1357 nt
Filed under: bacterium OC40(2011)
Lineage: Bacteria
Description: 16S ribosomal RNA
Rfam family: Bacterial small subunit ribosomal RNA
Source: RNAcentral